CCCCCCUGGGACUGAGACCCGGCCCAGAUUCCUACGGGAGGCAGCAGUGGGAAUAUUGGACAAUGGGCGAAAGCCUGAUCCAGCAAUACCGAGUGAGUGAUGAAGGCCUUAGGGUUGUAAAGCUCUUUUAGCAAGGAAGAUAAUGACGUUACUUGCAGAAAAAGCCCCGGCUAACUCCGUGCCAGCAGCCGCGGUAAGACGGAGGGGGCUAGCGUUGUUCGGAAUUACUGGGCGUAAAGAGUGCGUAGGCGGUUUAGUAAGUUGGAAGUGAAAGCCCGGGGCUUAACCUCGGAAUUGCUUUCAAAACUACUAAUCUAGAGUGUAGUAGGGGAUGAUGGAAUUCCUAGUGUAGAGGUGAAAUUCUUAGAUAUUAGGAGGAACACCGGUGGCGAAGGCGGUCAUCUGGGCUACAACUGACGCUAAUGCACGAAAGCGUGGGGAGCAAACAGGAUUAGAUACCCUGGUAGUCCACGCCGUAAACGAUGAGUGCUAGAUGUCGGAAGAUUCUCUUUCGGUUUCGCAGCUAACGCAUUAAGCACUCCGCCUGGAGAGUACGGUCGCAAGAUUAAAACUCAAAGGAAUUGACGGGGGCUCGCACAAGCGGUGGAGCAUGCGGUUUAAUUCGAUGUUACGCGAAAAACCUUACCAACCCUUGACAUGGUGGUCGCGGAUCGCAGAGAUGCUUUCCUUCAGCUCGGCUGGGACCGCACACAGGUGUUGCACGGCUGUCGUCAGCUCGUGUCGUGAGAUGUUGGGUUAAGUCCCGCAACGAGCGCAACCCUCAUUCUUAUUUGCCAGCGGGUAAUGCCGGGAACUAUAAGAAAACUGCUGGUGAUAAGCCAGAGGAAGGUGGGGACGACGUCAAGUCAUCAUGGCCCUUACGGGUUGGGCUACACGCGUGCUACAAUGGUGUUUACAGAGGGAAGCAAGACGGCGACGUGGAGCAAAUCCCUAAAAGACAUCUCAGUUCGGAUUGUUCUCUGCAACUCGAGAGCAUGAAGUUGGAAUCGCUAGUAAUCGCGGAUCAGCAUGCCGCGGUGAAUACGUUCUCGGGCCUUGUACACACUGCCCGUCACGCCAUGGGAGUUGGUUUUACCUGAAGGUGGUGAGAUAAAGCAAGAGGCAGCCAACCACGGUAGAAUCAGAGCGUAGGGGGUCGUUACGAGCCCAAAAAAAUAAAAACCCGG
Molecule: ribosomal RNA, 1187 nt
Filed under: Rickettsia monacensis
Lineage: Bacteria; Pseudomonadati; Pseudomonadota; Alphaproteobacteria; Rickettsiales; Rickettsiaceae
Description: bacterial SSU rRNA
Rfam family: Bacterial small subunit ribosomal RNA
Source: RNAcentral